This is a long non-coding RNA of Pomacea canaliculata, 4340 nucleotides long. RefSeq lists it as uncharacterized. NCBI's taxonomy places the organism in Eukaryota, Metazoa, Mollusca, Gastropoda, Architaenioglossa, Ampullariidae. The record is from RefSeq and is a predicted model, not a curated record. The transcript is spliced from 3 exons.
GUAGCACAGAGCUGCAGUCAGUGGAGCAUGACAGAGUUGUCACGGUCUGAACAGCUUUCAGUCCAUUUGUUUCCCACUUAGUUUGAAGUUAAGCAACAGGCCUCCAAGAAUAACAAUUUCUGGGUUUCGGGUGGCGAGUCCUGGUGGCUUUGAGCGCCUUAGCGCUUUACCUUUCCCUCCAUCUCCUCUCCCUGUAUUGAAAUGUAAGCAGGUGUACCUGGCAGGUUUCCGGACAGGUGUAACAAAAACUUGUUUUCAUCGGCUACGCGGCAUAUUUCUAAUGCCUUUGUGCCCAUACCCGGGGUACAUUAUACCCGGUCUGAAAGACUCUUUCGUCAGCCAGCUUCUCCACCUUGCGCUUGCCAGGGUCGCCAGGACAGCUUGUCGGAGGGGGACACCGCGCUCCACAAAAGGUCCUGAAAACUCUCGCACAAAGCCCCCUCAUCAGCAGGCUUCAGCUCUGUAGAGGGUUCUUGUGCUCCCACUGUGAAGUUUCCCUUCCCUAGACCUCACUGUCACACUUCUCUGUCGCCCCCUCUCUCUCUCCUCCUCACACAAAUCUCGGCCAUACAGGCUUUCCAUUACGAGGCUGCCGCCGUUCUUUCUCCCUUAGAGUCAGCUUUUCUUCCCUCAGCCCCAUUCUUUCUUUUCUCUCCCUCUACGUUCUUUGAAUCUUUUCUUCCCACCAUUUUCUCUCUUUUUUUAUUUUCUGUGUGUGUAGCUCUCUCUCUCUCUUCCCCUGAAGCUGGAACUAAGACUGUUGUGGCGUAUAAUUCCCAGCGCUCGAUACGCUGAGAGAGACUGGUGCUUGCUGCAGCUCUGCAAUAGAUGCGCUGUGCCCGGCAAAUGAAGCUAGGCCACAGAUAAUGGUCUUUUCUCCUUCUUAUAAAAGGCCGAAUCCGUUUUCAUAACCCAGCAUCGACCCGGCCGACUUGAAGUUGAGAUUCUUUGCCUGGUGGCGGUGCCAGGCAGAAGUGGGGAAUGCGGCGCUGGAGGUAACAGCCUGUAUGUGGACAGACCUUGUGUGGACCCUGAUGGCGUGGCAGUCCUCCACCUCGCCCUGUAGGGCCCAGCUGCCUUGUGUACGUGUGUGAGGGUGUCAGGCGGGUGGCUACCCAGCCUGGUGACCAGGGGAUAAGCUGGGUCUCUCCGCCAUGUCCAAAGAUGUUCUCGCAGUCUGUCUUGCUGCCUCGUCAAUGCGCAUGUCUGCGGUUUUGCUCCCUUGCGGCGCCCAUGACGGUGUGUAUGACGUAAUCAGUGCGUUAACAGAGAGCUGGUGACGCAGUGAGUGAAAUGCUUGCGUCAAGCAGCGUGGUGACGUCACAGAGUCCGAGAGUGCCAAGCGCAUGUCAGUGCGGAAGUCACGAGUUCUUGGCUGCAGUUGCUCUUUAUUCGGAGACAUCAACAUGGCAACGGAGAGGUCACUGCAAAUGUCGCUUGAUUGUCUGGAUGCAAGUAGCUGUGCAGCAGACCGGAAACUAGAGCACACGUGACGACAGCUGUGCAGCCCUGCUUCCCUGCAGUUGUUGUAGGUCCGGAAGUCAACCAGUGCAACCUCCAGGAGCACCGCCACCCCUAUAUUCCAUUGUCCCAGUGACCAUCAUGCCUACCCGCUACACUACCUCCAGGUGAACUGAAGGAGGUACUGAUGUAACAGUCUGAUGUGGGUGUCACGUGUGAAGAGCUGGCCAUGAACCCUAACCCUAAGCACUGCACCGAUUGGUUUAUUAUUUCCCAAGCUUCUUCGGGAUUUUUUCUGAUGUUCUUCGGGUCUCAUUGCAAAGUGAGAAUGGCCGACUGCUUUCUCUUGUUUACUUUUACCAUAAAUAGGAAACAAUAAACUUCCGGUGCUCCAGAACUACUCUGCAUUUUUCUAUCGAACCGCUAGGGCGGGGAUCAUGUUCCAUGCACAAUUCCAGGAACGCACGUCACAGGAGACACGUGACGUGACGUUUCUGUGAGCUGACGUCAUCUUCUACAGUGUUUCUAUGGUAACAAUUCACGCUAUCGCUUGGCAACGAAAGGUCAUCAUCACCGUCACCCCUGACCCAGAAGUGAUGACGUCAUCAUGGACCCUCACUUCGCAAAAACUCGCGAGAACUACGGGAAAAUGUCGCGCUGAGUGUCCCUUUGGUAGAGGGAGGGGAAAGUGCCACGUGACGUCACGUGACGCCAGCGAGCGGAUCAUGGUGCAGUCAGACGGUAGAGCGACGAUGACGUGCCUGACGUCACUGUGCAGGAGGGUGACGUGAUGAUGGAUGACGAUGUGACGUGGCUGUGUGCGCUAACCUUGCGAGGUCGCACGUCACGUAAGGUCACGUCACACCCCGGAGGCUGAUCGCACAAAGCGGAGGAUGUCUCCACAUGCAACCGAGAAUUAAAGGGGAAAGAGCAGAAUUUUGAAGACAACAAGAAUACAACUGGUGCUGGCCGUGUUUCAGGAUCCUGUUGCCAAGAGUCCAGGCCGAGUCCACGACUGCCGCCAGCGGAAGUUGUCCACAGACCGGAAGUGCGCGAACUCAUCCGAGGCGAGGCUGUGCACACGAGGCUGAGGCGAGACUAUGCGUCAUAUCCGGCAGUCCCUGGCACACGGCUGUGACUUCACACCCUGUCUCAGCAACCCUCUAACUAAUUUACAGGCCUUUCUCUACUUUAGACAUUUUCUCCUCCGUGUUUCCUCAGUCUCGAGAAACCACAGGCCGCGGAAUAAGUGAACUUUUUCACCAUCGAGUAGGUCUCAAAAACUAGUGCAAUAAACCACCUGUGUUUUGAUACUUUGUUAGUUUGAACUUUUUUUUGAACUUGAACUUUGGUGAACACAUACUGCUUGUGGGCUGACGGUUAGACCCUACCCGUACUGAGCUAGGGUGGGGAAGGUAAGGGGGUAACCUCACGACCUACAGUUUACCAUCGAAAGCUGCAGGUUAUUUGAGUGAGUGAGUUUUUAACCUUUUAUACAUCAGUCUACAAAAGAAAACGAUGUAGAACCUUAGUUUUGACAAGAUCAACAAGCGCUCGCCAACAUCUGAAAGCUUUCUUCGUCGUUUGACAGCAAACCUCAGAAGAUGGCAAGAAGGAGGAAAACAAACGCAUUUCUUUUUGAAGCCGCCGGCUCGUCCUCGCUUGGAGACGUCCACUCAAGGGGCAAAUUACUCUUAAUCCGGGUAAAAUGAGAUGACCUGUGUGACCCGAUUUAUUUUUUUAUUUCGUUCGACCUUUCUAGGAAAUUGAAGAACAAAGCCAUUGAUUUGUGGAUCUUAUUUCCCAAACCUUUUGUUUGUGUUGAUGUCCUGAAAAUAGUGGGUCUGCACCAGAGCUGACACCGCACACACUCCAACAGUCGAGAGCGAGAGAGCACACAAACAAACAAACAAACAAACAAACAAACAAACAAACAAACAAACAAACAAACAAACAAGCACACACAAACACACACACACAAACUGCAUAUUUUCAACACUUACUUAUAUAAUUUUCUAUGUGUAUAUGUGAGACAUGUCUUGAGGUGUAACAAGCCGCUAAUACGGGUGUGCAGUCACUGUCAUUACAACAUUGAAUGCCACCCCGGGUGUGUUGUGAGUUGUGUCGGGUAUAUAGCAGACACCUUCCCCAGUGGGGAGGCUCCCCUGUGAAUCUGACGAUACCUCGGGGGCAAAGAAGUAAAAGUAAAACACCCACAGCUGCACGCACCCUACCAACAGCUGUCUACUGGGUGUAGACAAAUGGUAGAGGGAGUGAGGUACAAAGCCCUCCUGUCAACCGGCGCUCUAUCUAAUGAGGUGGUCAGCACACCUGCAGACCGUGCGGCAAACUCAAACCUUGUACGUGCCGCCUGCGUGUCGUCUGCAAAUGCCACCGGGUGAGGCGCUACCCUGGUGUGGGUUGCCGCGGGGUGUAGAAGACCUAAUAUCAAGACUGUUGUACCCAGGACAUGCUACUCUUGCUCUUUGGCUUCAAAGGCCGAACUUGUCGUCUGCCUGGGUGUGACGUCAUGUCCCCACAGAGGGCGCCACACGUGACCUUCUCAUCACAAGAUUGGGCCGGCAGGGAUGCAGCAUCCAAACGGGUGGUGUAUGCACCCGGCAUGGACUUGAAGACCAGGACCUGAAUAGAAAAAAAGGUAUUAAAAGUAUGAAGCAUACAUCAAAGGUUUUCAUGGCAACGGGCUCAAUCACUGACAAGCAGAAAGGGCCAACAGAACAAGUUCUUUCACUUUUUCCAUCAUCACCACCACCUCAUUAACCUACCACAAUCACUAACAUUAACGCCAUGCGCGGCGGACAACACUACCCAUUGGUCAGUUGUGACCUCUGCAACAACAGGGGUCAUCGGACUUCUGU